UACGUAGGGGGCUAGCGUUAUCCGGAAUUACUGGGUGUAAAGGGCGCGUAGGCGGGAUAUUAAGUCAGAUGUGAAAUUUUGAGGCUCAACCUCAAAACUGCAUCUGAAACUAAUAUUCUUGAGUGCAGUAGAGGAAAGCGGAAUUCCCAGUGUAGCAGUGAAAUGCGUAGAGAUUGGGAGGAACACCAGUGGCGAAGGCGGCUUUCUGGGCUGUAACUGACGCUGAGGCGCGAAAGCGUGGGGAGCAAACAGG
RNAcentral lists this ribosomal RNA (253 nucleotides) under uncultured bacterium. RNAcentral describes it as "partial 16S ribosomal RNA". It matches the Rfam family "Bacterial small subunit ribosomal RNA", at positions 524 to 776 of the family's 1533-position model. The record is from RNAcentral.